CCUACGGGAGGCAGCAGUGGGGAAUAUUGCGCAAUGGGCGAAAGCCUGACGCAGCGACGCCGCGUGAGGGAUGAAGGUCUUCGGAUCGUAAACCUCUGUCAGCAGGGAAGAACGGUCACUGUGCUAAUCAGCAGUGAAUUGACGGUACCUGCAAAGGAAGCACCGGCUAACUCCGUGCCAGCAGCCGCGGUAAUACGGAGGGUGCGAGCGUUAAUCGGAAUUACGGGGCGUAAAGCGCUCGUAGGCGGUAUGUCAAGUCAAGGGUGAAAUCCCCGCGCUCAACGUGGGAACUGCCUUUGAAACUGGGAAACUGGAGUGUGUGAGAGGCAAGUGGAAUUCCAGGUGUAGGAGUGAAAUCCGUAGAUAUCUGGAGGAACAUCAGUGGCGAAGGCGACUCUCUGGAACAUAACUGACGCUGAGGAGCGAAAGCGUGGGUAGCAAACAGGAUUAGAUACCCUUGUAGUC
RNAcentral lists this ribosomal RNA (465 nucleotides) under uncultured bacterium. RNAcentral's name for it is "partial 16S ribosomal RNA". It matches the Rfam family "Bacterial small subunit ribosomal RNA", at positions 338 to 795 of the family's 1533-position model. The record is from RNAcentral.